This 492-nucleotide ribosomal RNA is filed under the name uncultured bacterium. RNAcentral describes it as "partial 16S ribosomal RNA". It matches the Rfam family "Bacterial small subunit ribosomal RNA", at positions 29 to 507 of the family's 1533-position model. The record is from RNAcentral.
AGUGAACGCUGGCGGUAGGCCUAACACAUGCAUGUCGAACGGCAGCACAGUAAGAGCUUGCUCUUACGGGUGGCGAGUGGCGGACGGGUGAGGAAUACAUCGGAAUCUACUUUUUCGUGGGGGAUAACGUAGGGAAACUUACGCUAAUACCGCAUACGACCUACGGGUGAAAGCAGGGGAUCUUCGGACCUUGCGCGAUUGAAUGAGCCGAUGUCGGAUUAGCUAGUUGGCGGGGUAAAGGCCCACCAAGGCGACGAUCCGUAGCUGGUCUGAGAGGAUGAUCAGCCACACUGGAACUGAGACACGGUCCAGACUCCUACGGGAGGCAGCAGUGGGGAAUAUUGGACAAAGGGCGCAAGCCUGAUUCAGCCAUACCGCGUGGGUGAAGAAGGCCUUCGGGUUGUAAAGCCCUUUUGUUGGGAAAGAAAAGCAGCAGGUUAAUACCCCGCUGUUCUGACGGUACCCAAAGAAUAAGCACCGGCUAACUUCGUG